UACGAGGGGGGCGAGCGUUGUUCGGAAUUAUUGGGCGUAAAGAGCUCGUAGGCGGUUUGUCGCGUCUGCUGUGAAAACCCGAGGCUCAACCUCGGGCCUGCAGCGGGUACGGGCAGACUAGAGUGCGGUAGGGGAGAUUGGAAUUCCUGGUGUAGCGGUGGAAUGCGCAGAUAUCAGGAGGAACACCAAUGGCGAAGGCAGAUCUCUGGGCCGUAACUGACGCUGAGGAGCGAAAGCAUGGGGAGCGAACAGG
Molecule: ribosomal RNA, 253 nt
Filed under: uncultured bacterium
Lineage: Bacteria
Description: partial 16S ribosomal RNA
Rfam family: Bacterial small subunit ribosomal RNA
Source: RNAcentral